GUAAGGAAUAUUGGUCAAUGGAGGCAACUCUGAACCAGCCAUGCCGCGUGCAGGAAGACGGCCCUCUGGGUUGUAAACUGCUUUUAUCCGGGAAUAAACCUGCCUUCGUGAAGGUAGCUGAAUGUACCGGAAGAAUAAGGAUCGGCUAACUCCGUGCCAGCAGCCGCGGUAAUACGGAGGAUCCAAGCGUUAUCCGGAUUUAUUGGGUUUAAAGGGUGCGUAGGCGGCCUGUUAAGUCAGGGGUGAAAGACGGUGGCUCAACCAUCGCAGUGCCCUUGAUACUGAUGGGCUUGAAUGGACUAGAGGUAGGCGGAAUGUGACAAGUAGCGGUGAAAUGCAUAGAUAUGUCACAGAACACCGAUUGCGAAGGCAUUGUACUGGCCGACAACUGACGCUGAUGCACGAAAGUGUGGGGAUCGAACAGGAUUAGAAACCCUGGUAGUCC
This 445-nucleotide ribosomal RNA is filed under the name uncultured bacterium. RNAcentral's name for it is "partial 16S ribosomal RNA". It matches the Rfam family "Bacterial small subunit ribosomal RNA", at positions 354 to 796 of the family's 1533-position model. The record is from RNAcentral.